GAUGAACGCUGGCGGCGUGCCUAAUACAUGCAAGUCGAGCGAACAGAUGGGGAGCUUGCUCCUCUGACGUUAGCGGCGGACGGGUGAGUAACACGUGGAUAACCUACCUAUAAGACUGGGAUAACUUCGGGAAACCGGAGCUAAUACCGGAUAAUAUAUUGAACCGCAUGGUUCAAUAGUGAAAGACGGUUUUGCUGUCACUUAUAGAUGGAUCCGCGCCGCAUUAGCUAGUUGGUAAGGUAACGGCUUACCAAGGCUACGAUGCGUAGCCGACCUGAGAGGGUGAUCGGCCACACUGGAACUGAGACACGGUCCAGACUCCUACGGGAGGCAGCAGUAGGGAAUCUUCCGCAAUGGGCGAAAGCCUGACGGAGCAACGCCGCGUGAGUGAUGAAGGUCUUCGGAUCGUAAAACUCUGUUAUUAGGGAAGAACAAAUGUGUAAGUAACUAUGCACGUCUUGACGGUACCUAAUCAGAAAGCCACGGCUAACUACGUG
Molecule: ribosomal RNA, 497 nt
Filed under: uncultured bacterium
Lineage: Bacteria
Description: partial 16S ribosomal RNA
Rfam family: Bacterial small subunit ribosomal RNA
Source: RNAcentral